MicroRNA precursor from Anolis carolinensis (green anole), 87 nucleotides. NCBI's taxonomy places the organism in Eukaryota, Metazoa, Chordata, Lepidosauria, Squamata, Anolidae. The record is from Ensembl.
UUGCUGGCCUCAAGCAGCUCGCUGGCAGAGACUUUCUGGUGAAGUCAGACAGCAAGUCUUUGCCAGGGAGCUGCUUGUGGUCAGUGA